AACAAUGUGGGCAUAUUAUAUAUAUAUUUUUAGAAUGAACUUAAAAAAUAAUAAACUCUAACUCCACUUUUGGCACUAAUUUCUUGAUUGCUAACAUGAUGCAUUUCUGCAAGAAGAGCUCAUUUCACAAUCUUUGAGGACAUUAUGUGUCUAAGACAAACCUGCAGGUGCUGUUGAGAACAGCAGAGCCAGCUGGAGGCUCUGGGAGGAAUUCCAUCUGGAAGAAAACAUGGUGUGUCCAGAGGGCAGAGUGGUGUGGUGGAGUCGGUGCUGGAGAUGAUGUGUGUACAAGAGCAGGACUCUGGACGGAGGCAGGGAUCUGGGCCAGCACAACAUGGAGAGGCUGAAGCUUCCUGGAGUGACCAGCAGGCAGGAGUAAGGGCCAGGUCCCUGAAAUCUAUGGAAGGAGAUUUUACUGGUGUGUCCACCUCCUCCUGGCCAGGCCACAGCUUUCUCAGCAGGGAGAGGAAGACAACGAAUCAGAAUGGGAAGGGAGUUUGCAUUUCUCGAGGACCUCAGGGACACAUCCUCAGGGACACAUGCACAGACUAGUGCUGCUUCUCAAGUUGCUCUGGUUACCGCAAUGGGGUAUCGAUCAGGGACGGCGUGGAGCCGAGGGUUUCAGCCGAGCCUCCGGGAGGCCAGGCUUUGGUCUGAACUGGAAGAGCACAAAGGCCAGCGGUGUCCUGUGGUGCGCGGAGCGCGCGAGGGCCAAGAAAUCCACGCGGGGCAAGCCCAGGAGCUGUGGGACCACCCGGCAGACCACCAGCAGCAGGCAGCUGACGCUCCGUUCACUUCCCAGCUCCCGUCUCCGAUGCUGGGAAUCGGGGAGCUGCUUAGAAUGUUCCCCUUGGAAGCAAGUUAUUCUUCACGAGUGGAAAGCAACCACGUGGCCCUUUAUAACUCACCCGUCGGGGCCCAGGACACCUGGCUGGGCGCCCCUCGCUCUGCUGCACUUGGUUCAGAAUCUGAGAUCUUGCCGAGACAUCGGCUACUUAGGCCCAAAGUUGCAGUUUAAACUUUUUUUAAUGCCUGAAACUCUAAGCAAUUCCUCGAGGGUGAAGGGAGGUUCCGGGAGGUUCGGGGAGGUUGUGGGAUCAGGGGGGUUGAGGGCACGGGGUGCUGUGCCGCUGAGGGGCUUGCACAGGUCCUGUCCCUCGUGCAUGGAAUGGUUCUCCGAUGGCUCGACCGUCAGGCUGCAGAAGGACAUUUCCGAGGCGGCUUUGGGGGGCAGGAGGACCGCGCACCUGGGAUCUCUGCGCUAGCAGGUCGAGCUGGUUCGGAGUGGAAGAGGUCCCUGCUGCAGCGGAGCCCCGGCCAGCCCCGCAAGCAGGACGCCCUGUGCCUCUCUGAAAUGUGGCUCCACGUAGAAGUAGAAGCAAGAUAUUUUCCUGGGGUCACGUGAGGGUGGGGCUUGCGGAGCGGAGCACCUGACCAUGCCUUCAUUUCCUGGAGAUGAGGCCAAUUUAUAAUCUGGAAGGUGGUUUACCAAGUGGCUAAUGAUGUGAGCCUUGUGUGUGUGUGUGUGUGUGUGUGUGUAUGUGUGUAUGUGUGUGUGUUUAAUAACAUUUAUGGAUGGUUGACCCGUCCAUAUAACAUAUAUGGGUCAACCAUCCAUAAAUAUAAUAUCCAUAUAUAUAAUACUUAUAUACAUAAAAUGAGACUUAGAUGAAGUAGCAGGUCCAAGGCUGUGGAACUCGGAGGCACACAGGGUCAGUAUGAGCCCAAGGCCCUCGCCCGUCACAAUCCUGCUGCAUUUCACGUCACUGGGUUGAGAGAUCCCGACAAUCCAUGCCCACAGUGGGUCCCGGGGCUUGUCCUGCUCUGAAGAGGGACACGCUCUCCCCGCUGGUGGCUCUCUGCAUUCUGAGGCUACCCCCCGACGUCUGCUGUAUGUAUGUCCUGUCCUCAGGUGGAAGGACAGUGGGCUUCACAGGCGAGGACGACCGGGGCCCGUCUCCCACCAAGCGUGGGCUCUGCACAACACUUAGGCGUGUCCUCUUAUGUGUAAAUUUUUUUUUUUAUGUGUGUAAAUGUUAUAGUCUCGCUCUUAGGGGACCAUUUGUUUUUCUUUUCUAUUCUAAAUUUUGGUGGAGUGUCCUGCCUCCUCCAUUGGCUGUGUGGUUGGAAAAGGUGGUCCUUACGUUUUCCUUGGAAGUCUGAGUCCGCUCAUCUACGAGCCGUUGUAAGUCCCAUUGUCUAGGGUUUUCGUGUAGAAGGAGAUAAGCACCGCAUUGGGAUGUAGAGAAUCUCAACGUUGUAUUUCUAGCUUUAGAUUGCAUGAAGUAAGCUUCGAGAUUUCCUCUGGCCAGAGGGCAAGCGUGCGGCGGACGCUCCUUCCUCGAGCAGCCCCAGGAGGAGCCGCGGCCCAGGCGCUGCGCCCUCAGACGCAGUUAGCAGGGGAAGGAGCUUCUCGGCUCCGAGGGCUGGUUCUGGAAUGCCUCCCGCCGACAUUUCUGCAUUCCACAUGGGCAGAGGGAACCCUGCAGAACCUGUCAGUCCCCGUCAGGAUUGAAAAGCAAGAAUGUUUUCUCUUAUCUCGGAUUGGAGCCAAGACACGGGAAUCCAGGCCUGCCUGCGGCCUCCCCAGGCCGCCUCCUGCGGGACUGGCCCUCCCCACCGACCACACACCCCCAAGGCCCUGCGAGUUCCUCUGAGGGGUUAGAGCCCCGGAAUGUCAGUGGGAAGGGACCUCAAACACUCCCAGUCAGGUAGACCCCGUUUCCGGAGAAGGCGCGGCCCAGGAGGGGCACAGGCAGGCAGCGGACCCCGACCCAGGGUCCAGUUUUCUCUCCUUCUCGUACCCGGUGCAGUUACUAUUUGCAUUCUGCAGGUUAACAAACAAGCAAGUACCAGUGAGUUGGAGUGACCUGCCCACCGUGAAAGGUGGUCAAUUUUGGGCUUAGAUUCAAUGGAGGCCCCUCCAGUGCACCCCUCACGUGUGCCUUCAAUUGUUCAUUCGUGUGUUUAAGUGAGUAUGCGCUGAGCCCGUCUCGGGGACCGCAAAGCCUGGGGAAUUUCUCCUCCAUCUGCACCCCUCAGUAUAAAGUACUUCGAAAUUUCAUCUAUUUUUCCCUUCUUGCUCUACACCCUCUCCCCUGGAGGGAGGAAGUUUGUGUUCUCCAAUGAAUCGGCUCUCGGGACAGCACAGAAUAAUUUCUAAACCCCUAUCUUCCUGCACGUUCCAGAUUCACAGGGCCCGUGGAGACACAGUGCACCUGCCUCCCUCACCUGGGGUCAGGAUUCAGCUCUAUCUCCUUCAGCUUCUACGGUUAACCCCCCUGAUUCUCAAUCAGAAACAUCCUUUUUUUUAAAGCAUGUUAUUUUAUUUUAUUUUUAUUUUUUAUUGGAGUUCAAUUUGCCAACAUACAGCAUAAGACUCAGUGCUCAUCCUGCCAAGUGCCCCCCUCAGUACGCGUCACCCAGUCACCCCAUCCCCCCGCCCACCUCCCUUACCACCACCCCUUGUUCCUUUCCCAGAGUUAGGAGUCUCCUGUUCUGUCUCCCUCUCUGAUAUUUCCCACUCAUUUUCUCUCCUUUCCCCUUUAUUCCUUUUUACUAUUUUUUAUAUUCUCCCAGUGAAUGAGACCAUAUAAUGUUUGUCCUUCUCUGAUGGACUUAUUUCACUCAGCAUAAUACCCUCCAGUUCCAUCCACGUCGAAGCAAAUGGUGGGUAUUUGUCGUUUCUCAUGGCUGAGGAAUAUCCCAUGCAUACACAGACCACAGCUUCUCUAUCCAUCAUCUGUCGAUGGACACCGAGGCUCCUUCCACAGUUUGGCUAUUGUGGACUCGAUCAGAAACAUCCUCGCCCAGGGGUUACUGCAGCUUCCUGGGUGGGGAGUGGGUCCAUCCGGUCUCUGCGGAGAGGAGGACCCAGCCAGCCCCGACAUCUGAGGCACAUCCCAGCCAGCGGAGGCCUCACGGCCCAGAGCAUCGUUCUCCUUUCUCUCAUCCAGGCCUUGAAAAAUAAUCAGUUUUUCUCUUGUAUUGUGAUUGCACAGAGGGGAGUUCUGAGGGCUGGGAUUGGCGCCUCCCUCCCUGGAGCCUGCCUCUGGGCCUCCCCUGGUGCCCCUGCUUUAACCAGAUGGACGAGAACGCAAUGGACGUUUCUACAGCAGCCUUCCUGAGUUGGCCAGGAGCUGAGGUGACCCACUUGGUCAGAGAGAAAAGGUGGGCCACUGUCACUGUGACUGAGCCUCUGGCCCCACUCAUGGAGAUGGUCCCCUCCAGGUGCCUAUAACCCCGUCGCUGGGCACGCUCCUACCAUGACAGCUGCUUGUUACCCUGCAGGCUCGGGAGGGGCUUGCAGCAUAGGAGGCAUCAAAGUGCCUGCUGGGCAGGAAGGUGGCUGAGGAGAAGAACUUGCUAGAAGGAAGGCAGGGUACCUCAUAUGGACUGGGCUGUCCCAUAGGGGCUCAGAGAGGGCUCUGGGGUGGGCUUGUGGCCCAGGGUGACCCGAGGUGACUAGUUACCUCUCACCUGUGGGCAGGCUGACUCUGACACCCUUUGCUGUGUGCCCCAGACACCCAAUACGCUACGGUCUGGAGCAGCCAGUGGCUCAGGGCUGCCUGGGCUCACCUCUCUGUUAGCCCCAGUGUGGACUUUCCAGCCCAUAAGUGCCAUGCUCCAGGUCCCUCUAGCGAGUUUUUCUUUCUUUCUUUCUUCCUUUCUUUCUUCUUUCUUUCUUUCUUUCUUUCUUUCUUUCUUUCUUUCUUUCUUUCUUUCUUUCUUCUUUCCUUCUUUCUUUUUUUUAGAUUUUAUUUGUUUAUUCAUGACAGAAGCAGAGAGAAAGGCAGAGACACAGGCGGAGGGAGAAGCAGGCUCCCUGCAGGAAGUCCAAUGUGGGACCCCAAUCCCCGAGACCCCAGGGAUCAUGACGAGCCGAAGGCAGACACUGAACCACUGAACCCCCCCAGGUGUCCCUAGCAAGGUAUUUUUAAGUGGAGAAGCUUGGUCCUCCCGAUACAAGAUUCUUGUCUGAGGCAAGGAAAGAGGAAGUGAAGUGUCUGCAAGUCAAUGUUGUCCUCGCAGUUCUUUUGGGAGGCCCCAAGGAAAUCCAGCUCCUGUGCAGGGGAGCCCCAUGCAAUGCCCCCAGAACUGUGGGGGCCGUGGAAAGGCCCAGGAGGAGCAGGUUCUGUGGACACAGAGAGGAAGCCCUCCUUGUUCUCUCUGUUCUGGUCAGCAGGAUCUCAUCUCCUGCUGCCUCUCUAGUCCUUCCUCUUUGAGUCUCUGCACCAUCCUGCUGCCCGUUAGCAGAGGACAGAGUGGACUUGACCCUGGACCCCACACACCAUCCCAGUUAGAUCUCAUGCAGUUUAAUUCUGCUUUGUUCAUCUGUACGAAGGCAGGGCCCGUGUGAGACACGCAGGAGAUGGAGGUGCAGAUGGGUGUGCAGAGCACCAGUGAGGGGGUGCCCAAUGCACGGUGGUCCCCACUCUUGCAGCCCUCCCUUUACUCCCCUCCCCUGAGUCUCAUGGCUAUAUGCCUCAUCUCAUCCCAUAAACCAGGGGUCCUCAGACUAUGGCCCGCAGGCCAAAUCGAGCCACUGCCUGUUUUUGUUAAUAAAGUUUUAUUGGAACACAAACGUUUGCUUAUACCUUGUCUGUGGCUGCUUUCCCGCUACAGUGACAGUGUUGAGUAGUUGGGGCAGAGAUACGCGGCGUUCAAAGCCUAGAAUAGGUGCUAUAUGACCCUUUACAGGAAAAAGGUUACCGACC
This 5717-nucleotide long non-coding RNA is filed under the name Canis lupus familiaris (dog). RNAcentral describes it as "lncRNA (ENSCAFG00845027767.1)". The record is from RNAcentral. Lineage: Eukaryota; Metazoa; Chordata; Mammalia; Carnivora; Canidae.